GCGGCGUGGAUUAGGCAUGCAAGUCGAGCGAGAAAUUUACUUCGGUAAAUGGACAGCGGCGAAAGGGACAGUAAUGUGUAGGUACCUACCCUCUGAUCUGGGAUAGCUGCGGGAAACUGCAGGUAAUACCGGAUAAUGUCUUCGGACCAAAGGUGUGAUUCCGUCUGAGGAGGGGCCUGCAUCCUAUUAGCUUGUUGGUGAGGUAAUGGCUCACCAAGGCAACGAUGGGUAGCGGGUGUGAGAGCAUGACCCGCGUCAUUGGGACUGAGACACUGCCCAGACAUCUACGGAUGGCUGCAGUCGAGAAUCUUCGGCAAUGGGCGAAAGCCUGACCGAGCGACGCCGCGUGCGGGAUGAAGGCCCUCGGGUUGUAAACCGCUGUCGUUGGGGAGGAAAUGCAGGAGGGCUAUCCCUCUUGUUUGACCGAUCCAAGGAGGAAGUACGGGCUAGGUUC
This 454-nucleotide ribosomal RNA is filed under the name uncultured Planctomycetales bacterium. Its description in RNAcentral is "bacterial SSU rRNA". It matches the Rfam family "Bacterial small subunit ribosomal RNA", at positions 39 to 504 of the family's 1533-position model. Lineage: Bacteria; Pseudomonadati; Planctomycetota; Planctomycetia; Planctomycetales. The record is from RNAcentral.